GAUGAACGCUGGCGGCGUGCCUAAUACAUGCAAGUCGAGCGAACAGACGAGGAGCUUGCUCCUCUGACAUUAGCGGCGGACGGGUGAGUAACACGUGGAUAACCUACCUAUAAGACUGGGAUAACUUCGGGAAACCGGAGCUAAUACCGGAUAAUAUAUUGAACCGCAUGGUUCAAUAGUGAAAGACGGUUUUGCUGUCACUUAUAGAUGGAUCCGCGCCGCAUUAGCUAGUUGGUAAGGUAACGGCUUACCAAGGCAACGAUGCGUAGGCGACCUGAGAGGGUGAUCGGCCACACUGGAACUGAGACACGGUCCAGACUCCUACGGGAGGCAGCAGUAGGGAAUCUUCCGCAAUGGGCGAAAGCCUGACGGAGCAACGCCGCGUGAGUGAUGAAGGUCUUCGGAUCGUAAAACUCUGUUAUUAGGGAAGAACAAAUGUGUAAGUAACUAUGCACGUCUUGACGGUACCUAAUCAGAAAGCCACGGCUAACUACGUG
RNAcentral lists this ribosomal RNA (497 nucleotides) under uncultured bacterium. Its description in RNAcentral is "partial 16S ribosomal RNA". It matches the Rfam family "Bacterial small subunit ribosomal RNA", at positions 28 to 507 of the family's 1533-position model. The record is from RNAcentral.